Molecule: ribosomal RNA, 393 nt
Filed under: Escherichia coli
Lineage: Bacteria; Pseudomonadati; Pseudomonadota; Gammaproteobacteria; Enterobacterales; Enterobacteriaceae
Description: partial 23S ribosomal RNA
Rfam family: Bacterial large subunit ribosomal RNA
Source: RNAcentral
CAUAGGUUAAUGAGGCGAACCGGGGGAACUGAAACAUCUAAGUACCCCGAGGAAAAGAAAUCAACCGAGAUUCCCCCAGUAGCGGCGAGCGAACGGGGAGGAGCCCAGAGCCUGAAUCAGUGUGUGUGUUAGUGGAAGCGUCUGGAAAGGCGCGCGAUACAGGGUGACAGCCCCGUACACAAAAAUGCACAUGCUGUGAGCUCGAUGAGUAGGGCGGGACACGUGGUAUCCUGUCUGAAUAUGGGGGGACCAUCCUCCAAGGCUAAAUACUCCUGACUGACCGAUAGUGAACCAGUACCGUGAGGGAAAGGCGAAAAGAACCCCGGCGAGGGGAGUGAAAAAGAACCUGAAACCGUGUACGUACAAGCAGUGGGAGCACAGAGCAAUCUGUGU